This is a long non-coding RNA of Pipra filicauda (Wire-tailed manakin), 9660 nucleotides long. RefSeq lists it as uncharacterized. The record is from RefSeq and is a predicted model, not a curated record. The transcript has 5 exons. Lineage: Eukaryota; Metazoa; Chordata; Aves; Passeriformes; Pipridae.
UACCGCGGGGAGCCAGGGGCAGGUUUCCGUGUUAAGGCAGCUUUGAGGAACGGGACAGCUGGAAUGAAAUUGCCAGGUCGGAAGCAGUGAGGGGUGGUGAGGGUAUUGGGAUGUUCCUGUGGCACAAAGCGAUGGUGAAGGAUGCACUUCUCCCUAGGGGGAACCGUGCUGCUGAUAUCGGGGUGUGCCACGUGUAGAGUGUCCCUCCCAAGGGAGGGACCGAGCAGGGCAUUUCUGCCUGGGAAGAGAUAAAAUGCACUAUCCCUAAGGUCUGGAGGUGCACUAGAAGUUAAAGAUCGAGUGUUUUGCUCUGGCUUCAUCGCCUGGUUCUGUUCUCUUGAAGUGCUGAGAAGCACGAACUCUGAUGGGAGGUUCUCCACAUGAUGCAGGAGAUUUGUAUACCUGUCCUCCAGUGUGUACCUGGUACAAUGGUUGUGUCCUCAUCUGUAAGAGCCAGGCUAUGUCUUGCCAUGGACAAGACUGCUGACUAUAUUUUCUCACUACCCUGUGAGUCUAUUUUGAAAGCUCUGGCAUAAAAGUGUUCUGUAACUUAAGCACCAAGUACAAGAAAUGUGUACAAAUUACCAGGUCAGCUGCCGAGGAACCUUCUGAAGGGCAUCUUGAAAUACUUGCUUUUAGAGCUCCAAACAAAGGGUCAUGGGAAAUGAGGGGAAAUACGUCCCGGUUGCCAUGGGAUUUGAUGUGUCCUGGGAACUGGGUAUAACCUUUACAGAGCCUGGUAGAGGAUUUCAGAGAGAAAUGCUGCUUCUCCUGUAGUGCUCUGUGUGCCGUUCUUCACAAGAGAUCAUUUCUGAAGGCAAAAUGCUUGAAUGCAGUAUUUCUGUCAGGCUCAACAUUGCCCCAAAUGCUGAAAGGUUGAUUUCCUUUAGGAAAAGUAAGCUAAAUGUGUAUCCCUGCUUCUUCCUUCUCUCUUCGAAACUAAUCACCUGCAUCAUUUCAUGCAGCCUACGUUAACUUCUGCAAUACUCAAACAUAUAUGUCUCUGAAUAAGGAUUUUCUCUUCAAUGGGGACCUUAAGCACUGCUGAUUUAUCACCUCAGUAAGAUUUUUACAGUUUUUAUUGCUUUUGCCUUUUACCUGUGUGCAAGUGGUGGUUGGUAGAAGUUGACUCCUUAUAUCUAAAGAGGCAGCAAAACCUGGGUCAGGAAUAAAUCUACAUCCUCUGAAUGGAUGCAUUUUGUAAGAAUGGUUCAUAAGCUCCCAUGUCCUUGAUCCCUUCAGCCCCAGUGGUCCUCAGUUCCUCUACAAACAUGGGACUGGAAGGGUACCAGUCGUGCAAUGGCACAGGCAUAAUGGGGGACAUCAUCUGCAUUGUGGUUGAGUGGCAGGUGCGUUUCCAGUAACAGCACUGGGGAAAGGACAGGGUGCAAAGAUUUUAAAUGCUGCUUUUAGAGCCGUAUUGCCUCCCCUGGCUAAAACUAGGCACUGCUGCCUGUAGAAGCAAGGACGCUCGUUUUGAUUCAAAGCUCCAGUGCUAAUUCAAGAUGGUAGUUCACAUUGCCUUCUGUACUUGUGCUGUUCUACCUGUAAAAGGGAAGUGCUAAUAACCCUGACUUGCAGCCAGAGAUUUUGUAAAGAUCAGUUGGCAUUUUUGGCACAUUAGCAAUUAUUCUUUCUUAAAAAUAAAAAUAUUUUAGUAGAAGUGAAAUACAAUCCUUGUAAGUUUAGUGUCUUAAAAUAUAUUAUUGAAUCUCAGUUGGAGGAAAUGUAGCUGAUAAACAUUAACAGACCACAAAAUAAGGCCUAUUAAGGAUUUUUGCUUCAGUUUGUAUUGGUUAAUUAUUAGGCAGCGCCCCUCCCUUCUUACCAUCACUCAAAUAAUUGGGCAGCAGCAGGGUAUCAAUAUUAUAAGGUAAUGCCAUGGCACUAAGCUUUGUUUUGCUGAAAAAGGGAGAGCACAGCCAUGCCAAGCCAUGCCAGUCCCUGCAGUGGGGACUGAAAGCAGCUGAGGUGACAGCAGAGGAGAGAGAUUUCAGUUCCUUUUCUGCACAGCUUGUGCUUCCUUGCUGCGUGUGAGAACUGUUAUGCACGCAGGUAAACCCAGAUACCAAACCAUGGCUAAGAUAUUAAGGAAAAGUUUAUUCCAAAGUUGGAAACCCUAAGUACACCGCUAAAAUCACACAGUGGGUGAAAGAACACCCCAGGCCUGUUUUCUGGUGCUUUUAUAACAAUAACUUUCGCAUGCACAUAACUUCAAGACUGUGUUCUCCCCUGUUCUUUUAUGGAUCCUCUUUCUCUCAGCAAGGACCUCACAGCGUAUUAUCUUUACACAGGAAUCCUAAUUCUCAAAACAGGCAGAUAAUAAACAUGCAUGGGUGUAAUAAAUGGGAUUUUCCUGUACUGAUCUUUUCCCAGGCCUAGUUUUCCUAGCAGUGAAGACUUCCUUGAGCAAGAACUCUUUAUCCUCCUCAAAUAAAUCUUCUGCAUAUACCUUCCUGUCCCUACACCACAGAUGCUGUUACCCGCAGUGCAGGCUGCAUAGUGGGCAUUAAACACUGCCUUUAAUUUCUGGCAGCACAUUAUUGUGGCUAGGAUGAUGAGAGACCAGAAGAUCAUACAAUUUUUGUUAAAUAACAGCAUCAAUCUUUCAUUUCCCUAUGCUCUGUAGAGGAAGACUGUGCAGAAACUCUGUGUGUAUCACACCUGAGAAUGGUUUAAAUGGGUGAAAUUUUGUUAAGACAGACUUAAUUUUUGCUGUUAGUGAAAAAAUAAAUAACAUUGAUAAAGAAUUGAAAUCAAGGCAGAACUUAUAUUCGAUAAAAGUAUGAAAGUGGCGUAGACUGCACUAGAAAAAUAAAUUCUCUCUGUUCUUCUGUGUGAACUGGGAAUUUUGUCUUUAUUAGAGAGGAUCCAAAAUUAGUGAACAAGGGUGGUGAGUGAUACUGUUGACUUUAUUUUAUAUUGUCUUUUACAUUUUGAUUAAUAUUUAAUUUUUUUACUUCUGACAAUCAUUUGUUGUUAUGCUAUCGUUUUGCUUUUGUAGGUUUUUUUUAUAAUCUUCAAAUACAGUGUCUUCGUGAACUUGCUUAGGAGCAAUUCAAACACUUAGUGGAGAUUUUCUUUAUGGUGAUUUUAGGCCACUGUUUAGUUAACAUACAUUUUCUUAGUGUGAACUGGAACAUCUCAAUGACCUUAAGGAUUUUUUCCAACCUGAAUGAUUCUAUGAAACACUGAAUGUUGCUUAGAGCAUGAGUAGGGAUUGUGCUGUCUUUAUUGACCUUGACCUAACUCUUUGUGAUCUGAACUUCUCUGUGCCACUAACUUCCUUUUUUGUAACUGUUUCAGAGUCGGUUCCCUUUUCUGUAUUCCUGAAAGAGCUCUGUGAAAAGCCUCAUGUGACAAAUCAGCAUGUUUCUGACUCUGUUUCCCAGAGUUUAUUUAGCUUUGAAGCUGUUAUCUAAAUCCAUUGAAGUUCCUUCAGUGUUUUUAACAUAUUAAUUCUGUUUAAUUCUCUGUGUCUUUGGAAUGCUUCUUUCAAAAGCACCUGUAGUUUUUCUAAACUGAUUUUUCAGAACUUUGCCAUUAAGACAUUCAGGGCCUCUGUAUCACCCUGGAUAGCUUGUAACAUACUUUGUAAGGUCUCUUUUUACCAAGAAGAAUUCUUGUGUGUCACAGAUUCCUUUGCACCUGUUGGAAAUCUGUAGGAAAAUUCCAGCAGAUUCUCAUAUUUUCAUUCAGGCUUGACUCUACUGGGGGCUGGUAUGAGAGGAGGUGGGGAGCAGAAGGGCAGGAAGUGAGGUUUGCAGCUGCCUGACUGGGCCCUGCAGUGUCUCACUGAAUCCCAUUGCAGAGAGAAAUGGGCUGGCAGGGAUGUCAUGGUGGAGUCCAGGAUGGCCUUGACCUGACAAGUUAGCAGAACUGCUGUGCUCAGUGGAAGGAUGGGGAAGAAACUUGUACAGCUUUUUAGUCGCAAAUUCUCUAUGCAAAAUCUUUACAUGAGAUAUGGUGUUAAUUUGGAUUCACAGUACUUAUGUUUUAUGAACAUAUUUACAUGAAACCUUGUUUUUUGUGUGGAAUAAGUGGGGGAGCUGACUUUGUUAAGUCUUGUGAAAGAGAAGCCUGAGAUGGUACAGUCUUUAGAUAUAAAAAUAUUCUUGAAUAAGAGGUAUGUCUUACACUUCUAGGGUAUAUGGGACAAGAAAUAAUAUAUCUUUAAAAUGUUAUGUGAAACAGUCAGGUUAUACAUUAGACAAAACUUUACAGAGGACAGUGAAAGACUGGAAUAAAUGUCCUCAGCAAAAUACAGGGUCCAUAUCAUUGAAAAGUUUCAAGCAUUGUUCAUCAGCCAUCAGUCAGGAAUCAUUACAGUUGGACUCAAUAAUCUUAAGGGUCUUUUCAAAUCUAAAUGAUUCCAUGAUUUGGUUAGAGUUGCUUUUGAGAGGAGGGGAAGAGAACCUAUAUGACCUGCUAAAAUCCCUUAUGGCCCUUUCUUUUGUGCCUGAAAAUCACUGGCCUAAUGUAUUGACUAUUGAAGGUGGGAAGUUUUUGCCCAUUUGAAAGGUUCUCUUGAUGGUGAAGUAAGCAGCUCGCUUCUGUGAAUGACCUUUACCAUUACAAACAGCCUCUUUGAUUCCAGUUGCUGCACUUAAAUGAGAGAAACGGUGUAUAUCAGGGUGGAACACCAGAGCACAGUGGCUCAGUGUCAGUGUCAGCUUUUGCUUUCUAAUACACUUUUUAGAUAUUAGGUGAACUACCUUUUUUAAGUGUUUGAUUUCUUGUUUGUUUUUUUCUUUUUUUCUUUUUUAUUUCAGUUAGAGUGUUGAAACUCACUGUUUAAGUGGUGUUUGUGUGUUUUUUCCUUUCUUUGUGUUUAGUUUUCUCCAGCUCAUAGUACUGUCUUCAGCCUACUCAUACAAAUGUCUUUAUGUGAAAUUCUUGGCUGUGCAGAAACCCUGAUGAGAUCAGUGUAGUGCUGAGCAGUUAUGCAUAUGCUACAGUAGAUCUUUGCCCCAAGUGGGAAUUCUACCUUUGCCCCUAAAUUUUCUCUUGCCUUGGCUCUAAUCGGGACUAUCUCUGCAGAUAGCAGCAAAGCUUCUGUUACUUGAUUACAACGAACCUGUAACCUUUAGUCUUACAGCUUGAAGCCACUCCCUAUUAUCUUGUAUUUACGUGCCUUUGUAAAAAGUCCCUCUCCAGCUCUCUUCUAGCCAGUCUCCUUUAGGUACUGAAAGGGAGCAUACAGGAAAGACUACAGACUAAUAUGGUCUUGCAUCAAACUUCAGUGAAAAGACGUUGUACAGCUAACAGAUAUAAAGCAUUCUACUUUCUGGGAAGGAAAAGGGGCUUUGUUUUCUGAAGUGAGUGGAAAACUCUUGUUUUAGCAAUCACAAAGGAGUCAGAGCUUUCUGCUAUACGAAUGCUGAACAGACAUUGUUAAAACCUAAAGUUACACUAGAAAAAAAUCAUGGAACACAAAUUGCAAAUAGUUGUACCUGCUUUAAAGUUCAUUAACUUCUCCACUGAGCUUUUGGAUAAAGCUAGAAUUUUAUAAUAAAAUUCUUAAUUUCAUUUCUAUCUGUCUGAUAUUUUUUUUCUAGAGAUGGAGAGGAAACAGACUUGAUCCUGUAAAACCUUUUUCCUGUUCUACACUGGUACAGAACAGACACUUCUGAAAGAUUUAACUGGAACUAGAAUAAUGAAUACACCAACACACGGGGUAUUUAUUGAGGUUUUUUUAAGAACUCAAAUCCCAGCUUUGAAUCCCAACAAUGUGAAAUAGAAAUAUAAAUGUAACAUUUCUCACAUCCAAACAGGUGUGCUGAGCUUGGUCUGUAAUGUGUGUCUUUCUUAUAUGGGUCAGAGUGAGCAUUCAAUUGUACAUACAAAAGACACUACUCCCAGACUACUGAGGUCAGGAACUUAUGUGGAGCCUUAGGUUCAAUUCCCUGUGCCAAGCCUUGUCAUACAUGCAAUUUGCACUUUCAUCUGUCUUAUCAUUGAUGCUACAGAUUGUCAGUGUAUUCUGAAAUUAAGGCCUCUCCCUUUUGGUUUGAUCAGAAAAUCUUCCUUGAACCUGAGUAACCUUUCUUAGCAAAAAUUUAUUUUUCUUCAAGAAAUUUCAAUAACCUGACACUUCCCAAGAGCAAAGGUAUUUCCUUAAGAAUUUUUUUAUAAUUUUCUAAGUCAAGUUGGUCCUGAUCAGUUUUCUCUUCACAGCUGGUUCCUUAGUGUCUUCAGUUCUAACUUUGUCAUUUAGUAGUAAUAGAUGUUAUUUUUUUUCUCCUGAAGCCUAGGAUAAAGUUAUUACAGGAAAGAAACUUUCAAGUCCUGCAUGGAUUUUAGAGUUCUGUGCUCUAUUCCCUCCUCUCUGAUACUCUGUUCCAUCCAUGCUUCCCAAGGGUUCUUGUUUGUAUGCCUGCAGCAUCUUUGUGAAACAUGAAAGUGCUACUCUUCCCAUUCUGCAAAUGGAGAAAAGAAAUAAAGAACUUCAGCAAGUACUUUUAUUGUAGGUGAAACGAGCAGAGGUGAUCACUGACCUCAUGAGUCAGGUAAUCACCUCCAUGCAAUGAUAUGUGAACACACCAGCACUGACUCUGGUUCAUACAGGUGCAGCAGUACUGUGCCAUGUGUGUUCCCUGGCUUGAGAAUCUGCAGCUCAGAGCACUCUGCAUUGUUCUCUGCUGUGAGGUGAAAUAUGCCCUGAAUGACUUGUCCAAGAUCACACAGGAAGACACUGGCAGAACAGGAACAUAAUGUGAGUUUUCUCUUAAGCAGCAAGCACACCUGCUUUAAUUUUGUUUCUAGGCUACAUAAAUUUUAAGUGAAUAAAAAUUAUGUGCAUAUGGAAAAACUUCUUCCAUAUUUUUUUGAAAGUAGGUUAAUUCCUAUAAUAAGAUAGGCUUGGAGAGGAUUGAUUUUGCAAUAGGAUUAGUUAUGCUAAGGAAACUGUUUUUUGCAUUGGGAAAUGCAAAUAAAAUUUUGAUAGAUCAGACUUCCGUCUUGGUUUGCUUUACUGAAGUUAGAGUAGGAAUGCAUCCAUCAGUAGGACUGUAUCGAUCUGUCCUAUUGUGUCAUAGACUGGAAGGAAUGUAGGAAUUUAUUAAUAUUCUUCUAAUACAUCAAAGAAUGUAUUAGAAGAAUAUUAAUAAAAGGUUUAAUGAAAAAAGGGGUUUAUUACUAUUAAGAAAUGGUGCAUUCUUUUUGUCAGUGUUAAUCUGGUUCUUGAUUCCCCCCUCCCCCCUCUUUGCUGUUACUACUUCAUGGUCCUGUUGUGCCCAACUUACUGUGCUACAUGUUCCCUGGUUUGCUGAAACCUGAUAAUCUAGUAAUUAUGCUUUCACACUCACUAAUUAAUUUCAUUUUUUGUAGGUAUCCUAUGGAACAUGCUUGAUGACACACAGUGACAUCUGUUCAUACAGAGGAGAGAUUUCAUCACUGCAGAUCUUGGAGUCUUCCCUGGCAAGUGCUCCAGCCAUACCACCCAAGUGACAGACGACAAAGGCAGGGACUGAGAGAAUGCAGAACCACCCACUGUACAAGAAGAUCAGGUUCAAGAACAACUAAGGCAUCUGAAGGUGUACAAGUUCAUGGGACCUGAUAACAUACAUGCGUGGGUCCUGAGGGAACUGGUGGAGGAAGUGACUAAGCUGCUAUUCAUCAUAUUUGAGAAGUCAUGGCAGUCUGGUGAAGUUCCCACUGACUAGAAAAGGGGAAAUACAACCCCCGUUUUAAGAAGGAAAUAAGAAAGACCCAGGGAAAUAAAGACUGGUCACUAUCACUUCAUUGUCAGGAAAGACAAUGGAGCAGAUCCUUCUGGAAACUAUGAUAAAGCACAUGGAAAAUAGGGAGGUGAUUGGUGACAGCCAACAUGGGAAUCAAAUCGUACCUGACAAAUUGGUGGCUUUGUAUGACAGGUUUACAGUGAUGGUGGAUGAGGGAAGAGUUACUGGCAUCAUCUACAUGGACUGGUGUAAGACAUAUGACACUGUCUGGCACAGUGUCACACAUCAUUGUCUCUAAACUGGAGAAACAUGGAUUUGAUAGGUAGAUCACUUGGUGGAUGAGGAGUUGACUGGAUGGUUGCACUCAAAGAGUUGUGGUCAAAGUUCAAUGUCCAAGUGGAGACCAGCAAUGAGUGUUAUUCCUCAGGGGUCUGUAUUUGGACUGGCACUGUUUAACAUCUUUGUCACUGACAUGGACAGUGGUGUUGAGUGCACUCUCAGCAAGUUGGCCGAUGAUAUCAAGUUGUGUGAUGCAGUCAACACCCAGGAGGGAAGGGAUGCCAUCCAGAGAGACCUUGGCAGACUUGAGAGGCAGACCUGUGUGAACCUCAUGAAGUUCCACAAAGCCAAGUGCAAGGACCUGCAUGUGGAUUGGGGUAAUUCCAAACACAAAUACAGGCUGAUGGAAGAAUGGAUUGAAAGCAACCUAGAGGAGGACUUGGGGUGUUGAUGAAUGAGAAGCUUGACAUGACCCAGCAAUGUGCACUUUCAGCCCAGAAAGCCAACUGUGUCCUGUGCUGCAUUAAAAGCAGCAUGGCCAGCAGGUUGAGGGAGGUGAUUUUACCCCUUUACUCUGCUCUGAGGUACUGUGUGUUCCUGAUUUGCUGGGCAACUAGUUAAGUGAUGAGUGCGCGUGGAAGAAAUUAUUUCAUUUCUCCAUCAUGGCUGGGAAGUCACCAGGAUACUUUUGUGAAGGACAUCUAGUCAGCUCUGCUCACCUUAUGAAGCACUGUCCAAGUGCAGGCCAGACACUGGUGUUCCCAGAGAAGAAUGUGCCUAAAACAGAAGAGCUGGUCACUUGGGAAGAAUUGCCUUUUGUAGUAGCUGACAGUCUUAGAGCCCGUUUGUGUCCCAAUGGCUCAAGCUCCAUCAUUUUUUGAUCCGUGAAGAAGGAAAGGUGUAUGGACCUGACUCUGUGACUCUUAUAUUACAAGUGAGCAGCAUAAGAGCAUUGACCCAAACCCCAUUUCCUAGUUCAUGCCUCACCUUCCACAUCUCCAGACCUUUUCAUAAGAGACUGUGAGCAUUCAAAGACCUAAGCAGUUGCUGAAGAUUAAUUUCCUCCUUCAAAGCGCACUGAGACGACUACACUAAGAUGUUACCAUCCUCAGCGGCCGUGUGACAAUACCAGUGAUGCACAGCAGAUCGGAGUAACUGGGAACAGGUGUAUGUGAUUCCUGCACUUGCCUGAAGGGCCCAAGAGACCUGACCUGGUUCCCAAUUUAGGACGGUACAAGCCUUUUAAGGGUUAAAUCUAGACAGGUGUUUCUGUCCCAGUUCCUGGGGAGAGUUUGCAUUCCUUGUUUAAAGAGAUUAAUAUAUGCUAAGUACUGUCUGGUUCAGUUCCCAUCGUAUUUCAGAAGCAAUUCAAACAUUUCCCUGCAUAUUAUCUUCAAGCAAUGGAGGAUAUUCAGAUGGGCUCCAAGGUUAUGCAGCUUUAAUGGAGAAAGAAGUUCCUCGAAAAAAAUGCAUUUGGUAUCUUUAUAUUGCUCUGUCAAGGCAGGAGUUUCCUCCAUACCAUAGCCCUACUCUAAAUAGCCAGCAGUUUCUGUGAGCUAGAAGUUAACUCAGCAGCUUUCCAUAAUUGUGUUUUGUAAAUAGUUCUGGCUCUCUGUUCUGGAAAGCAGCCUGAGUCCAAAUACAACAAAGAUAGAAGAGCCUUUUGGGGUUUUUUUGGGUGGGUGUUUUUGGUGGGGUC